RNAcentral lists this transfer RNA (60 nucleotides) under Amblyomma cajennense (Cayenne tick). Its description in RNAcentral is "tRNA-Phe". It matches the Rfam family "tRNA". From Rfam's summary of the family: Transfer RNA (tRNA) molecules are approximately 80 nucleotides in length. Their secondary structure includes four short double-helical elements and three loops (D, anti-codon, and T loops). Further hydrogen bonds mediate the characteristic L-shaped molecular structure. tRNAs have two regions of fundamental functional importance: the anti-codon, which is responsible for specific mRNA codon recognition, and the 3' end, to which the tRNAs corresponding amino acid is attached (by aminoacyl-tRNA synthetases). tRNAs cope with the degeneracy of the genetic code in two manners: having more than one tRNA (with a specific anti-codon) for a particular amino acid; and 'wobble' base-pairing, i.e. permitting non-standard base-pairing at the 3rd anti-codon position. RNAcentral also lists the same sequence under 1 other name. Lineage: Eukaryota; Metazoa; Arthropoda; Arachnida; Ixodida; Ixodidae. The record is from RNAcentral.
GCUUUUAUAGUUUAAUUUAAAACGUUACACUGAAAAUGUAAAAAUAAAUUUUUAAAAGUA